AAGUCGUAACAAGGUUUCCGUAGGUGAACCUGCGGAAGGAUCAUUACCGAGUGCGGGCCCUCUGGGUCCAACCUCCCAUCCGUGUCUAUCUGUACCCUGUUGCUUCGGCGUGGCUACGGCCCGCCGAAGACUAACAUUUGAACACUGUCUGAAGUUUGCAGUCUGAGUUUUUAGUUAAACAAUAAUUAAAACUUUCAACAACGGAUCUCUUGGUUCCG
RNAcentral lists this unclassified non-coding RNA (218 nucleotides) under Aspergillus ruber. RNAcentral describes it as "partial internal transcribed spacer region". The stretch from base 1 to 46 matches the Rfam family "Eukaryotic small subunit ribosomal RNA", at positions 1786 to 1831 of the family's 1831-position model. The record is from RNAcentral. RNAcentral also lists the same sequence under 1 other name. Lineage: Eukaryota; Fungi; Ascomycota; Eurotiomycetes; Eurotiales; Aspergillaceae.